Chinchilla lanigera (long-tailed chinchilla) is the source of this 2087-nucleotide long non-coding RNA. RefSeq lists it as uncharacterized. NCBI's taxonomy places the organism in Eukaryota, Metazoa, Chordata, Mammalia, Rodentia, Chinchillidae. The transcript has 2 exons. The record is from RefSeq and is a predicted model, not a curated record.
UCUCCUUGGGCUGUCUACAAACAUACAGAAAUAGCUGUAUUUAAUGGCACUUUCUAAAACAUUAUUAUGCCUAUUAUAGUGUUCAGAAUUCUUGGAGUCUAAUGUGUUAGCAGCCUAGGUUUUAAAAACUUCAGAUAGGUGUCAAUCUUUUAAGAUUUAAUGUGCUUAAUGCUCCCACCCCAGAGAAGUAGGUGCAGGUCCAUUUAAAGAUCACAUAACUAGAAUAUCUGCAGGAAUCCCAUGAGACAACACACAGGAAAGUGUGUAGUAGAACAGCAGUGGAUAACUUGGUAUAAAUACUACUAUUACUGUUACUGCCUAUAUAAAAAUAUAAUCAUCCAGAUGAACUGUGCUUGUGAUAGUAACUGUAGAAAGGCAGAAAAUGAAUAUGGCAAAGGUAAACAAGUGUCUGUUGGGGUUCCCAGGGCUGGGUACAGAGGCCGGGCCUUCCCUAUGCUGGCCUGGUGCUCUACUACUGAGCUGUGUCCCACAUUCGUCAAAUAAUAAAAGCAUUUUUCUUCGUUGGUUUGUUUGUUGAGGGGACCACGUCUACUCAUGGAACUGGCUCCAGAGGCCCUAAUUGGACUUUACAAAGUGAGAAUGUAAUCAGGAACCCUCAGUUAUCUAAAAACUCUUUGAUCUCCUAAAUAUAAAACUCAGUAGCUAAUUUUAAAAGUAUAUGCAUGAAACCAGUUAGGCCUGAGAGAUGAGGAAUCUUCUCCAGGGAAGUACAGGACUGCUUGCUCCGAUCUUUCUGGUUAUUAACCACAACCGAGCCAUUCACUAAUAAUCCAGGAAGCACAGAACGAAGACAUAACCACUACGAGGAGGUAAAACCAGUGUUCAGCACCAGCUUGCUUCCCACUGCAGGGUGUGUGCCCUCUGUUCUUCUGUUCUAAGCCUGAGCUGCUGCACAAACAAGGCUAUCUGAGGAAGCAGACCGAGAGAUUCUCCAUUUGGAUGGUCUGAGAUUUCACCAAGCAUUUUGAACUUGCAGGAGCCAGUGUUGCCAGACACUUCCCACAAAUUCCUUAUCUUCAGCUCUUCCCAUGAAGAUUUCCCUUUAACAAAAAUGCUUUUCCUAAUGGUUGGGCAUUAAGUGAAAGUUUUUCUUCUACAGACAUCAAGAUUAAGAAAAAAAUCUAACAAGCAGUGGCCUCAGUUGGGGAAUAUCAGUUAAAAUCCUCUUUUCCAAAGUUGAAGGCAGACCUAGGUCGAGAUGUCAAACGUCUGAGUCUUUUCAGAGUUCAGGGGGCAGUUCAAAAGAUCGGAGAAGCAGGCAAAGCACAAACCAACGAAAAGAUGGACGCAAAACUGCCACAACGGCGGUCGGUGCCGACACAACCAGAAGUCUUCUUAAAAUGGCCGGCAAACCAGUGAGACACUGACCAAGUGCCCACACUGCAGCCCCACACCCACUUAUUCACUGCAAAGUGCCAAUGCUGCCCCUACGUGUGCUGAUAUCCAGAGCUCGGCUCCUGGGGCGAUGCUGGGGUGACCUGGCUCACCUGCCGACCAAGAGGGCUCUGCGUGCCUGCUGUGAUUCUCGAGCCAUAGGUUUGCUACGACUGCCUUAGAGCCUGCACUCUGGGAUUCCGCAGGGGAAUUCUAGCUCUUGGCCUGCAGCUAGAGAAAACCAUGUCCUCGUGGCUGUCUGUGGCUGCCAGAACCCCAAACACUUGGUGAGCACGCAGAGGAGCCCUGUUGUGCUAUGAUGAUAGACAGGCACGGAAGUACAGUGUCACUGGCUUUGGGCUUAAACAUCUCCAAACACCUGCUCUCCAAGCACAGGAACCCGUGGUUUAAGUAACGUACGCUACGGAUCAGCGGUUUGCAAUGAUGGGCUGAUCGAAAGACUAUCACGCUCAGCGCUGCUAAGGUUAAUGGCGUUGCCUCUUACAGAGGAAAUGCAGAAGUGAGGGGAAGAAACCAAUGAAACACACCUCUAAUGGCACGCAGAGCAGAGCCCACUGAAAUGAAUGCCGACUAAUGAAAACAUCCCCAAAGAGAGUGAUUUUAGAGAAACCUUUUAUCUACAGGCCCUGUAUUUAUAGAGUAACCUUUUAAAUACAGGGUAAAAAAAGAAA